RNAcentral lists this small RNA (86 nucleotides) under Pseudomonas sp. 8AS. Its description in RNAcentral is "t44 RNA". It matches the Rfam family "t44 RNA". From Rfam's summary of the family: This family consists of a number of bacterial RNA genes of between 135 and 170 bases in length. The t44 gene is found between the map and rpsB genes in all species in the full alignment apart from Shigella flexneri. The function of this RNA is unknown. Lineage: Bacteria; Pseudomonadati; Pseudomonadota; Gammaproteobacteria; Pseudomonadales; Pseudomonadaceae. The record is from Rfam by way of RNAcentral.
CUCGUGAAGCUUUAAUCCGCACACGUAUCGACACGUUAUCCUGGGUGCCUGCAAGGGUUGGAUAGCGGGAUGCGUGGAGGCCUAAC